Molecule: ribosomal RNA, 304 nt
Filed under: Brevundimonas sp.
Lineage: Bacteria; Pseudomonadati; Pseudomonadota; Alphaproteobacteria; Caulobacterales; Caulobacteraceae
Description: bacterial SSU rRNA
Rfam family: Bacterial small subunit ribosomal RNA
Source: RNAcentral
CCGAAUGUGCCCUUCGGGGGAGAGAGUUAUCGCCAUUAGAGCGGCCCGCGUCUGAUUAGCUAGUUGGUGAGGUAAAGGCUACCAAGGCGACGAUCAGUAGCUGGUCUGAGAGGAUGUUUAGCCACAUCUGGGACUGAGACACGGCCCAAACUCCUACGGGAGGCAGCAGUGGGGAAUCUUGCGCAAUGGGCGAAAGCCUGACGCAGCCAUGCCGCGUGAAUGAUGAAGGUCUUAGGAUUGUAAAAUUCUUUUCACCGGGGACGAUAAUGACGGUACCCGGAGAAGAAGCCCCGGCUAACUUCGU